UACCUGCAGCCCGAGUGGUGCUCGUUAUUAUUGGGUCUAAAUCGUCCGUAGUCGGCCGGGUAGAUGCCUGGGUAAAUCGAAGCGCUUAACGUUUCGAAUUCCAGGUAGACCGCCCGGCUUGGGAUCGGGUGAGGUGCGAGGUACUUCGGGGGUAGGGGUAAAAUCCUGUAAUCCUCGAGGGACCACCAGUGGCGAAGGCGUCGCACUAGAACGAGUCCGACGAUCAGGGACGAAGCCCUGGGGCGCAAACGGG
Molecule: ribosomal RNA, 253 nt
Filed under: uncultured bacterium
Lineage: Bacteria
Description: partial 16S ribosomal RNA
Rfam family: Archaeal small subunit ribosomal RNA
Source: RNAcentral